Molecule: long non-coding RNA, 1558 nt
Filed under: Ursus maritimus (polar bear)
Lineage: Eukaryota; Metazoa; Chordata; Mammalia; Carnivora; Ursidae
Description: lncRNA (ENSUMAG00000023114.1)
Source: RNAcentral
UUGAGGAAGGAUAGUAUAUCAUAACUAAAUGCGGUUUAAUCCAAGGAUGCACGUGUUAACAUUUGAAAAGUCGAUCCAUGUAAUUCACACAGCAACAGAAUAAAGAAAAAAGAUCAUUUGAUCAUCACAAUGGACGUAGAAAAAAUUUAUGAAAUUCAACAGUCAUUCACAGCAAAAACUCUUAGCAUACUAUGAUAAAUUUGAUUGUCUACAACAAAACAAAACAAGACCUGAGAUCAGAAAUGAUGGAUCUUGUACUUACUGGAGGUUUUCACCAGUGCAAUAAGGCAAGGGAGUGGUGAACAUCUGUCAAACCCAGAGGCCACAGUACCAGUUCAUGACUGCACCUGUCAGGUAAGAACUGUCCUUACCUUCAGUCCCUCCUCACUACUCCAGCACUGGAAGGGAACAGAAGUCACAGCUAGCAAACUGAGAGUGGGGUGGGGAGAGGGCAGAAUCAAGAAAGAAGAAAGCAGCCACCCAGCCUCUCCCACCCAUGUUCCUCUCCACUGACUGAAGCCAUGCCAAGCUGAGAGAGGGAGGUGUUUAUAUUAUUUUAAUGAAUUGGAUUUUUUAUUCUUAAACAGGCUGGAAAUUGUAGUUACUAAGAUAGUCUUAUUUUGUAAUAUUCAGUGGCCAUAGGACUUUUCCUUCCCGCAAAUGACCUGAAACCCAGAGAGUGUGCUCUAGAUUUCUAAGGAGUAAGAAUAAACCGUAUUGGGGCAGGUAUACAUGGGGAUAAAGCUGUUUUCUAUUCCACUCAACGACUAACACUCUCAAAAUCCUGGUUUGCAGUCAUUCAUGUUAAUGUGCUCACUGUUAGUCUCCAAAGGAUAAGCGUGUCCCCUGGACCACACUUUUCUACAUUUGUUGAAAAGAAAGCCUUCUUCCGAUGUCUUCCAAGAACUCCACAUUUCGACCUGGAUUGUUCCAAAGCAGGACGAAGGUUCAGCGUGGGAACUUCGAAGUCGAUGGGCCUGAUGACGGUACCACCGCUGCCAAGACCACCGAUGGUUCUGACGACCCUGCAGAAGGAGGCCCAUGGAGAGCCCUCUGCACACUUUUCUGACUUCGUGCCAGCUUCAAUUCCCUGCCUCUCUUAAUGGCCAGCGUUUCUAGGGCCUGCGAUUAUGGUCAGUUAUUCGCAGGUGUCAGGGACCUGGGAGGACUUUAUUGGUCUUAAGCAGGCAGCAGACCCACAUCCCUCCCAGUGUCCUAAAGAAAGCUGUUUAUCCCAGAAGAUCCCGCUCGGAGGGGGGAGACAUUUCUCCCGGCAGGAACACCCAUAAACUUCCCUGCAAUAGACUUCCCUGCAGCUCCCCUCCUCGCCUUACUCACUCACUCACUCACUCACUCACUCAUUCAUUCACCGAGCUAACAAAUACUGAGCAGCCACUCCUUUCCAGGCACUAAGAAAAAACAGUCCUGGAGACACAGCGCUGAAUAAGAUCGGUACCGCCCCAGGCUUUGUGAAGAUCACACUCAACCAACUUUGCUUCAUCUCAUCGUACCCCUACUCACAAGUACCCCUUGAUUAGGAGAGAGAGCACAGUGUUCU